This 163-nucleotide non-coding RNA is filed under the name bovine gut metagenome. RNAcentral describes it as "Lysine riboswitch". It matches the Rfam family "Lysine riboswitch aptamer". Rfam says of the family: Riboswitches are metabolite binding domains within certain messenger RNAs that serve as precision sensors for their corresponding targets. Allosteric rearrangement of mRNA structure is mediated by ligand binding, and this results in modulation of gene expression. The record is from RNAcentral.
UAUGAUAGAGGCGCGGCAAUCAAGAGUAGCUCUCAACCGACCGGCGGGAAACCGGGAGAGCAAAAGGGCUUGCCGCCGAAGGAUGACCGCGUUCCCGUGCGGUCGUACCUGGGCCAUGGGAUAAGAUCUCAUGGACUGUCGCAAGCAAUUGCGGAGAGCUGUC